GAACUUGAGGUGAAGCUGAAUGCCACGACGUCUUCAGAGGAGGAAUAUCAGUUAAAGGUUUCCUGCUCCUAUGUGGCCAACAUCACUCGCACAUUGGCCUUCCUGACCAGGCCGCGUGACAACGAGCCUUUUGCCGAGACUGGGACGGGUCGACUAAUGGUCAGAAUGAGACUCGCUCAGGACGCCUCGUAUAACACGUUCCACCAGGAGGAGGACUAUCCAGUGGUGAGGUA
Oncorhynchus kisutch (coho salmon) is the source of this 233-nucleotide long non-coding RNA. RefSeq lists it as uncharacterized. Lineage: Eukaryota; Metazoa; Chordata; Actinopteri; Salmoniformes; Salmonidae. The record is from RefSeq and is a predicted model, not a curated record. The transcript is spliced from 3 exons.